GCCGAAGUGGCGGAAUGGCAGACGCGCCAGGUUCAGGACCUGGUGAGGGUUAACCUCGUGUGGGUUCAACUCCCACCUUCGGCACCA
Molecule: transfer RNA, 87 nt
Filed under: Chloroflexi bacterium HGW-Chloroflexi-1
Lineage: Bacteria; Bacillati; Chloroflexota
Description: tRNA-Leu
Rfam family: tRNA
About the family: Transfer RNA (tRNA) molecules are approximately 80 nucleotides in length. Their secondary structure includes four short double-helical elements and three loops (D, anti-codon, and T loops).
Source: RNAcentral